Molecule: non-coding RNA, 73 nt
Organism: Danio rerio (zebrafish)
Lineage: Eukaryota; Metazoa; Chordata; Actinopteri; Cypriniformes; Danionidae
Source: Rfam
GUUUCCGUAGUGUAGUGGUUAUCACGUUUGCCUUACACGCAAAAGGUCCCAUGUUCGAAACUGGGUGGAAACA